CAGGGUUUGACAUCCUGCGAAUCUCUUGGAAACGAGAGAGUGCCUUCGGGAACGCAGUGACAGGUGGUGCAUGGCUGUCGUCAGCUCGUGUCGUGAGAUGUUGGGUUAAGUCCCGCAACGAGCGCAACCCACGUCGUUAGUUGCCAGCAUUUAGUUGGGCACUCUAGCGAGACCGCCGGUGAUAAACCGGAGGAAGGUGUGGAUGACGUCAAGUCAUCAUGCCCCUUACAUCCUGGGCUGCACACGUACUACAAUGCUACGGACAAAGGGCAGCAAACUCGCGAGAGCUAGCAAAUCCCAUAAACCGUGGCUCAGUUCAGAUCGUAGGCUGCAACUCGCCUACGUGAAGGAGGAAUCGCUAGUAAUCGCAGGUCAGCAUACUGCGGUGGAUACGUUCCC
This 399-nucleotide ribosomal RNA is filed under the name uncultured bacterium. RNAcentral's name for it is "bacterial SSU rRNA". It matches the Rfam family "Bacterial small subunit ribosomal RNA", at positions 975 to 1375 of the family's 1533-position model. The record is from RNAcentral.